Molecule: unclassified non-coding RNA, 119 nt
Filed under: uncultured Archaeorhizomyces
Lineage: Eukaryota; Fungi; Ascomycota; Archaeorhizomycetes; Archaeorhizomycetales; Archaeorhizomycetaceae
Description: sequence contains ITS1
Source: RNAcentral
UUGAAUGGUCUCGUGCCUUCAACCCUCAAAACUGUGGAAGGGACAUGUGCUUCGGCGCUCGGGCGCCGUCUUUAUGCAUGAGUCUGUCUUUGACGUCUGAAUCAGAGAAUGAAAAACCA